This is a long non-coding RNA of Bombina bombina (fire-bellied toad), 171 nucleotides long. RefSeq lists it as uncharacterized. NCBI's taxonomy places the organism in Eukaryota, Metazoa, Chordata, Amphibia, Anura, Bombinatoridae. The transcript is spliced from 3 exons. The record is from RefSeq and is a predicted model, not a curated record.
AGGGGUCUCAAGUCUCUUUUUAGACACUGGAUCCUAAACUUUGGUGAUAUUGCUUUGGGCUCAUCAUUUAUUUUUUUAAGGGUAAGAUCAGUGGAGUGGGCAGUUGCUAGGUCCCAGCUCACCCUUUUGCCACACAGUUUAUGCUCCCGGACUCCUGUCCGUCCAUUGAAC